RNAcentral lists this ribosomal RNA (540 nucleotides) under uncultured Geobacteraceae bacterium. RNAcentral's name for it is "bacterial SSU rRNA". It matches the Rfam family "Bacterial small subunit ribosomal RNA", at positions 9 to 526 of the family's 1533-position model. The record is from RNAcentral. Lineage: Bacteria; Pseudomonadati; Thermodesulfobacteriota; Desulfuromonadia; Geobacterales; Geobacteraceae.
GAGUUUGAUCCUGGCUCAGAACGAACGCUGGCGGCGUGCCUAACACAUGCAAGUCGAACGUGAUCCAGAGCUUGCUCUGGUGAAAGUGGCGCACGGGUGAGUAACGCGUGGAUAACCUACCCUGGUAUCCGGGAUAACAUUCCGAAAGGGGUGCUAAUACCGGAUAAGCCCACGGGCUCUUUGGAGCUUGCGGGAAAAGGUGGCCUCUAUUUAUAAGCUACUGUAUCAGGAUGGGUCCGCGUACCAUUAGCUAGUUGGCGGUGUAACGGACCACCAAGGCGACGAUGGUUAGCUGGUCUGAGAGGAUGAUCAGCCACACUGGAACUGAGACACGGUCCAGACUCCUACGGGGGGCAGCAGUGGGGAAUUUUGCGCAAUGGGGGAAACCCUGACGCAGCAACGCCGCGUGAGUGAUGAAGGCCUUUGGGUCGUAAAGCUCAGUCAGAGGGGAAGAAAUGAUAUAGUGCUAAUACCACUUUAUCUUGACGGUACCCUCAAAGGAAGCACCGGCUAACUCCGUGCCAGCAGCCGCGGUAAUAC